AUGUCCCAGAGUUCCUCGGCGGCGAGACGCACCCGGGCAGUUCCACCACCGCUGCCAUUGAUCAUGUGCCCAGCGUGCACGGGGACGAGGACCAGGUGGUUCGUGUCCGAGACGGACCGUAACCCAGGCAUCCGUUUCUACAAGUGCCCGAACCAGGCAGACGGAGGCCCUUGCGAUUUUUGGCUGUGGGAGGACCAGUACGCGUUCUACAUCAUCGGGGUUGGCAUCAACCUCCUCAUAGAGGCUGCCGGAGGCGGAAGCAACAUCAUGUUCGGGAUGGGCCGCGCCAUGGACGACAUAUGCAUCGCAGCUAGGAACACGAUGAUGAUAUGCAUGCUAAUGCUUUUCGUCAUGCUUUGGAAGGCGGCCGGCUGGC
Molecule: ribosomal RNA, 376 nt
Filed under: Triticum aestivum (bread wheat)
Lineage: Eukaryota; Viridiplantae; Streptophyta; Magnoliopsida; Poales; Poaceae
Description: partial small subunit ribosomal RNA
Source: RNAcentral